This 301-nucleotide ribosomal RNA is filed under the name uncultured bacterium. RNAcentral's name for it is "partial 16S ribosomal RNA". It matches the Rfam family "Bacterial small subunit ribosomal RNA", at positions 509 to 807 of the family's 1533-position model. The record is from RNAcentral.
CAGUAGCCGCGGGAAUACGUAGGGUGCGAGCGUUAAUCGGAAUUACUGGGCGUAAAGCGUGCGCAGGCGGUUUUGUAAGACAGGCGUGAAAUCCCCGGGCUCAACCUGGGAAUGGCGCUUGUGACUGCAAAGCUAGAGUGCGGCAGAGGGGGAUGGAAUUCCGCGUGUAGCAGUGAAAUGCGUAGAUAUGCGGAGGAACGCCGAUGGCGAAGGCAAUCCCCUGGGCCUGCACUGACGCUCAUGCACGAAAGCGUGGGGAGCAAACAGGAUUAGAUACCCGGGUAGUCCCUGUCUCUUAUAC